AUUGCACGCUGGCGGCAGGCCUAACACAUGCAAGUAGAGCGGAGCGGCGGACGGGUGAGUAAUGCCUAGGAAUCUGCCUGGGCGUGGGGGAUAACGUCCGGAAACGGGCACUAAUACCCCAAACAAUCAGUUGAGCCUAGGUCGGAUUAGCUAGUCGGUGGGGUAAAGGCCUACCAAGGCGACAAUCCGAACCUGGUCAGAGGGGAGGAUCAGUCACACUUGAACUGAGACACGGUCCAGACUCCUCCGGGAGGCAGCAGUGGGGAAUAUUGGACAAUGGGCGAAAGCCUGAUCCAGCCAUGCCGCGUGUGUGAAGAAGGUCUUCGGAUUGUAAAGCACUUUAAGUUGGGAGGCGUUACCAACAGAAUAAGCACCGGCUAACUUCGUGCCAGCAGCCGCGGUAAUAC
This 407-nucleotide ribosomal RNA is filed under the name uncultured bacterium. Its description in RNAcentral is "partial 16S ribosomal RNA". It matches the Rfam family "Bacterial small subunit ribosomal RNA", at positions 30 to 526 of the family's 1533-position model. The record is from RNAcentral.